UGACAGAGCCAACGAGUUCAUCACCUUGGCCGAAAGGUCUGGGUAAUCUUGUUAAACUCUGUCGUGCUGGGGAUAGAGCAUUGCAAUUAUUGCUCUUCAACGAGGAAUUCCUAGUAAGCGCAAGUCAUCAGCUUGCGCUGAUUACGUCCCUGCCCUUUGUACACACCGCCCGUCGCUACUACCGAUUGAAUGGCUAAGUGAGGCUUUCGGACUGGCCUAGGGAGAGCGGCAACGUUCACCCAGGGCCGGAAAGUUGUCCAAACUUGGUCAUUUAGAGGAAGUAAAAGUCGUAACAAGGUCUCCGUAGGUGAACCUGCGGAGGGAUCAUUACAGAGACUCUGCCCUUUGGGUAGACCUCCCACCCUGUGCCGUUAUACCUUUGUUGCUUUGGCGGGCCGCGGGGCUCCGGCCCCGCCCCUGGCUCCGGCUAGGGCGCGCCCGCCAGAGGACCACCAAACCUGAAUGUCAGUGUCGUCUGAGUACUAUAUAAUAGUUAAAACUUUCAACAACGGAUCUCUUGGUUCUGGCAUCGAUGAAGAACGCAGCGAAAUGCGAUAAGUAAUGUGAAUUGCAGAAUUCAGUGAAUCAUCGAAUCUUUGAACGCACAUUGCGCCCCUUGGUAUUCCGGGGGGCAUGCCUGUUCGAGCGUCAUUACAACCCUCAAGCUCUGCUUGGUAUUGGGCGGCACCGGCCCGGUGCGCCUCAAAAACAGUGGCGGCGCCAUCUGGCUCUAAGCGUAGUACAUACUCUCGCUACAGACGCCCGGUGGAUGCUGGCCAGCAACCCCCAAUUUAUCAAGGUUGACCUCGGAUCAGGUAGGGAUACCCGCUGAACUUAAGCAUAUCAAUAAGCG
This 853-nucleotide ribosomal RNA is filed under the name Pezicula ocellata. RNAcentral's name for it is "bacterial SSU rRNA". The stretch from base 1 to 330 matches the Rfam family "Eukaryotic small subunit ribosomal RNA", at positions 1504 to 1831 of the family's 1831-position model. Lineage: Eukaryota; Fungi; Ascomycota; Leotiomycetes; Helotiales; Dermateaceae. The record is from RNAcentral.